This 373-nucleotide ribosomal RNA is filed under the name uncultured soil bacterium. Its description in RNAcentral is "bacterial SSU rRNA". It matches the Rfam family "Bacterial small subunit ribosomal RNA", at positions 26 to 394 of the family's 1533-position model. The record is from RNAcentral.
AGAUUGAACGCUGGCGGAAUGCUUUACACAUGCAAGUCGAGCGGCAGCGCGGGGGCAACCCUGGCGGCGAGCGGCGAACGGGUGAGUAAUACAUCGGAACAUGUCCAGUUGUGGGGGAUAGCCCGGCGAAAGCCGGAUUAAUACCGCAUGAGCUCGAGAGGAGGAAAGCGGGGGACCUAAGGCCUCGCGCGACUGGGUUCGGCCGAUGUCCGAUUAGCUAGGUUGGUAGGGGUAAAGCCUACCAAGGCGAUGGAUCGGUAGCUGGUCUGAGAGGAUGAUCAGCCACACUGGGACUGAGACGACGGCCCAGACCUCCGUACGGGAGCAGCAGGUGGGAUUUUGGACAAGUGGGGGACAACCGUGACUCCAGCCA